Molecule: non-coding RNA, 31 nt
Filed under: Homo sapiens (human)
Lineage: Eukaryota; Metazoa; Chordata; Mammalia; Primates; Hominidae
Source: RNAcentral
CCCAACUCAACUCCUGCAGUUUCAGCCGUCC